CACAUAUUGUGAGCUCGAUGAGUAGGGCGGGACACGUGGUAUCCUGUCUGAAUAUGGGGGGACCAUCCUCCAAGGCUAAAUACUCCUGACUGACCGAUAGUGAACCAGUACCGUGAGGGAAAGGCGAAAAGAACCCCGGCGAGGGGAGUGAAAAAGAACCUGAAACCGUGUACGUACAAGCAGUGGGAGCACGCUUAGGCGUGUGACUGCGUACCUUUUGUAUAAUGGGUCAGCGACUUAUAUUCUGUAGCAAGGUUAACCGAAUAGGGGAGCCGAAGGGAAACCGAGUCUUAACUGGGCGUUAAGUUGCAGGGUAUAGACCCGAAACCCGGUGAUCUAGCCAUGGGCAGGUUGAAGGUUGGGUAACACUAACUGGAGGACCGAACCGACUAAUGUUGAAAAAUUAGCGGAUGACUUGUGGCUGGGGGUGAAAGGCCAAUCAAACCGGGAGAUAGCUGGUUCUCCCCGAAAGCUAUUUAGGUAGCGCCUCGUGAAUUCAUCUCCGGGGGUAGAGCACUGUUUCGGCAAGGGGGUCAUCCCGACUUACCAACCCGAUGCAAACUGCGAAUACCGGAGAAUGUUAUCACAGGAGACACACGGCGGGUGCUAACGUCCGUCGUGAAGAGGGAAACAACCCAGACCGCCAGCUAAGGUCCCAAAGUCAUGGUUAAGUGGGAAACGAUGUGGGAAGGCCCAGACAGCCAGGAUGUUGGCUUAGAAGCAGCCAUCAUUUAAAGAAAGCGUAAUAGCUCACUGGUCGAGUCGGCCUGCGCGGAAGAUGUAACGGGGCUAAACCAUGCACCGAAGCUGCGGCAGCGACGCUUAUGCGUUGUUGGGUAGGGGAGCGUUCUGUAAGCCUGCGAAGGUGUGCUGUGAGGCAUGCUGGAGGUAUCAGAAGUGCGAAUGCUGACAUAAGUAACGAUAAAGCGGGUGAAAAGCCCGCUCGCCGGAAGACCAAGGGUUCCUGUCCAACGUUAAUCGGGGCAGGGUGAGUCGACCCCUAAGGCGAGGCCGAAAGGCGUAGUCGAUGGGAAACAGGUUAAUAUUCCUGUACUUGGUGUUACUGCGAAGGGGGGACGGAGAAGGCUAUGUUGGCCGGGCGACGGUUGUCCCGGUUUAAGCGUGUAGGCUGGUUUUCCAGGCAAAUCCGGAAAAUCAAGGCUGAGGCGUGAUGACGAGGCACUACGGUGCUGAAGCAACAAAUGCCCUGCUUCCAGGAAAAGCCUCUAAGCAUCAGGUAACAUCAAAUCGUACCCCAAACCGACACAGGUGGUCAGGUAGAGAAUACCAAGGCGCUUGAGAGAACUCGGGUGAAGGAACUAGGCAAAAUGGUGCCGUAACUUCGGGAGAAGGCACGCUGAUAUGUAGGUGAAGUCCCUUGCGGAUGGAGCUGAAAUCAGUCGAAGAUACCAGCUGGCUGCAACUGUUUAUUAAAAACACAGCACUGUGCAAACACGAAAGUGGACGUAUACGGUGUGACGCCUGCCCGGUGCCGGAAGGUUAAUUGAUGGGGUCAGCGCAAGCGAAGCUCUUGAUCGAAGCCCCGGUAAACGGCGGCCGUAACUAUAACGGUCCUAAGGUAGCGAAAUUCCUUGUCGGGUAAGUUCCGACCUGCACGAAUGGCGUAAUGAUGGCCAGGCUGUCUCCACCCGAGACUCAGUGAAAUUGAACUCGCUGUGAAGAUGCAGUGUACCCGCGGCAAGACGGAAAGACCCCGUGAACCUUUACUAUAGCUUGACACUGAACAUUGAGCCUUGAUGUGUAGGAUAGGUGGGAGGCUUUGAAGUGUGGACGCCAGUCUGCAUGGAGCCGGCCUUGAAAUACCACCCUUUAAUGUUUGAUGUUCUAACGUGGACCCGUGAUCCGGGUUGCGGACAGUGUCUGGUGGGUAGUUUGACUGGGGCGGUCUCCUCCUAAAGAGUAACGGAGGAGCACGAAGGUUGGCUAAUCCUGGUCGGACAUCAGGAGGUUAGUGCAAUGGCAUAAGCCAGCUUGACUGCGAGCGUGACGGCGCGAGCAGGUGCGAAAGCAGGUCAUAGUGAUCCGGUGGUUCUGAAUGGAAGGGCCAUCGCUCAACGGAUAAAAGGUACUCCGGGGAUAACAGGCUGAUACCGCCCAAGAGUUCAUAUCGACGGCGGUGUUUGGCACCUCGAUGUCGGCUCAUCACAUCCUGGGGCUGAAGUAGGUCCCAAGGGUAUGGCUGUUCGCCAUUUAAAGUGGUACGCGAGCUGGGUUUAGAACGUCGUGAGACAGUUCGGUCCCUAUCUGCCGUGGGCGCUGGAGAACUGAGGGGGGCUGCUCCUAGUACGAGAGGACCGGAGUGGACGCAUCACUGGUGUUCGGGUUGUCAUGCCAAUGGCACUGCCCGGUAGCUAAAUGCGGAAGAGAUAAGUGCUGAAAGCAUCUAAGCACGAAACUUGCCCCGAGAUGAGUUCUCCCUGACCCUUUAAGGGUCCUGAAGGAACGUUGAAGACGACGACGUUGAUAGGCCGGGUGUGUAAGCGCAGCGAUGCGUUGAGCUAACCGGUACUAAUGAACCGUGAGG
RNAcentral lists this ribosomal RNA (2545 nucleotides) under Shigella sonnei. RNAcentral describes it as "partial 23S ribosomal RNA". It matches the Rfam family "Bacterial large subunit ribosomal RNA", at positions 391 to 2915 of the family's 2925-position model. Lineage: Bacteria; Pseudomonadati; Pseudomonadota; Gammaproteobacteria; Enterobacterales; Enterobacteriaceae. The record is from RNAcentral.